ACAAUGGGCGAAAGCCUGAUGCAGCAACGCCGCGUGAGCGAUGAAGGCCUUCGGGUUGUAAAGCUCUGUCCUCAAGGAAGAUAAUGACGGUACUUGAGGAGGAAGCCCCGGCUAACUACGUGCCAGCAGCCGCGGUAAUACGUAGGGGGCUAGCGUUAUCCGGAAUUACUGGGCGUAAAGGGUGCGUAGGUGGUUUCUUAAGUCAGAGGUGAAAGGCUACGGCUCAACCGUAGUAAGCCUUUGAAACUGGGAGACUUGAGUGCAGAAGAGGAGAGUGGAACUCCAUGUGUAGCGGUGAAAUGCGUAGAUAUAUGGAAGAACACCAGUGGCGAAGGCGGCUCUCUGGACUGUAACUGACACUGAGGCACGAAAGCGUGGGGAGCA
RNAcentral lists this ribosomal RNA (384 nucleotides) under uncultured bacterium. RNAcentral's name for it is "bacterial SSU rRNA". It matches the Rfam family "Bacterial small subunit ribosomal RNA", at positions 368 to 770 of the family's 1533-position model. The record is from RNAcentral.